This 253-nucleotide ribosomal RNA is filed under the name uncultured bacterium. Its description in RNAcentral is "partial 16S ribosomal RNA". It matches the Rfam family "Bacterial small subunit ribosomal RNA", at positions 524 to 776 of the family's 1533-position model. The record is from RNAcentral.
UACGUAGGGACCGAGCGUUGUCCGGAAUCAUUGGGCGUAAAGCGCGUGUAGGCGGUCCGGUAAGUCUGCUGUGAAAGUCGGGGGCUCAACCCUCGGAUGCCGGUGGAUACUGUCGGGCUUGAGUACGGAAGAGGCGAGUGGAAUUCCUGGUGUAGCGGUGAAAUGCGCAGAUAUCAGGAGGAACACCAAUUGCGAAGGCAGCUCGCUGGGACGUUACUGACGCUGAGACGCGAAAGCGUGGGGAGCAAACAGG